RNAcentral lists this ribosomal RNA (492 nucleotides) under uncultured bacterium. RNAcentral describes it as "partial 16S ribosomal RNA". It matches the Rfam family "Bacterial small subunit ribosomal RNA", at positions 29 to 507 of the family's 1533-position model. The record is from RNAcentral.
AGUGAACGCUGGCGGUAGGCCUAACACAUGCAAGUCGAACGGCAGCACAGUAAGAGCUUGCUCUUACGGGUGGCGAGUGGCGGACGGGUGAGGAAUACAUCGGAAUCUACUUUUUCGUGGGGGAUAACGUAGGGAAACUUACGCUAAUACCGCAUACGACCUACGGGUGAAAGCAGUGGAUCUUCGGACCUUGCGCGAUUGAAUGAGCCGAUUUCGGAUUAGCUAGUUGGCGGGGUAAAUGCCCACCAAGGCGACGAUCCGUAGCUGGUCUGAGAGGAUGAUCAGCCACACUGGAACUGAGACACGGUCCAGACUCCUACGAGAGGCAGCAGUGGGGAAUAUUGGACAAUGGGCGCAAGCCUGAUCCAGCCAUACCGCGUGGGUGAAGAAGGCCUUCGGGUUGUAAAGCCCUUUUGUUGGGAAAGAAAAGCAGCAGGUUAAUACCCCGCUGUUCUGACGGUACCCAAAGAAUAAGCACCGGCUAACUUCGCG